UGAUUGUCCAUUCGCAUUUCUUGCUGUUUCCUUGUGUAAAACACUGUUUCUCAAGAUGUGUGUAUGGGCAUC
Molecule: microRNA precursor, 72 nt
Filed under: Mesocestoides corti
Lineage: Eukaryota; Metazoa; Platyhelminthes; Cestoda; Cyclophyllidea; Mesocestoididae
Description: microRNA mco-mir-219 precursor
Gene: mco-mir-219
Source: miRBase by way of RNAcentral